Molecule: ribosomal RNA, 235 nt
Filed under: uncultured bacterium
Lineage: Bacteria
Description: partial 16S ribosomal RNA
Rfam family: Bacterial small subunit ribosomal RNA
Source: RNAcentral
UGUAGAGAAUCUGCCCUGUACUGGGGACGAACAGAGGGAAACUUCUGCUAAUACCCCAUAUGAGCGUACCUGCGAUGGUAUUCUUGAAAGUUCCGGCGGUACAGGAUGAGUCUGCAUCUGAUUAGCUAGUUGGUGGUGUAAUGGACUACCAAGGCGACGAUCAGUAGCUGGUUUGAGAGGAUGAUCAGCCACAAUGGGACUGAGACACGGCCCAUACUCCUACGGGAGGCAGCAG